GAAUUUCUCCUCUUAGUUCCUCCUCUUAGAGGAGGGGCAGGAACGACUGUACUCUUUCUGUGCUGCUUUGAAAGCCUGAAGUGCUCCAAAAGGAAGGUCGGACAAAGCGUUUCUUCACAUUAAUUCCUUUGAGUGGCAUUUAGACUUAACCAAGCGUGUUACAGACUUUUAUUACAAUAGCAAAGUCAGUGCUGGGAAGUUUUGCUCUCGCAUGCUUUGUAGCUCUAGCACUACGGAGACCUUUUAAGAGCACGGGAGCUGCUGAAAAGAAUUACCUUGAGGUACUCUGGGGCCUCUUUCUGCUGUAAUUCUGCCAUCUCCUCCAGCGGUGGGGAAUUAACCACGGCUCCCGAGUGCUGCCACAUUUGCUGCCAGCCGAUGCCGUCUCCCGCCGGGCCAGCAGGUUACAGCACCGGUUAGCUCACGCGGACAUGAACCCUUGGAAAGGCGACGGGACGGGACGUGACAGCAGGAGAGCAAAGCUUCGGCAUACGCCUGGUGCAAGUGCAGGAAAUGUAGCGCAUUCUGCUGCAGCAAAGGCUCCUCUGCCGCCUCCGGACCUGGGUGACGCUGGCCUAAAGUAUCCUUCCUGGGAAAAUCCCUGUGGAGCGUUAUGGUUAUAGCUGUGGCUGCAGAAUACUAAUCUCACAAACACUUUAUGAAACAAAGUGAUGAUAAUUUCUUUAGUUUCUCUCUGAUGAGUUUUAGCAUAUAUUAUUUCCUUUUUGUUUCUGCUGGGAUAAGGUUUGAGACAGAAAUCUGCACCUAAAUUUUUUGUUCUUGAGACAUAGCAGCCAAAAAUAUGUUCAACUUACCAAACAGUUCGUAGACCCACACCAAAACUAGCAAUAGGCAUUGUCCCUGAGAUGUAAUUUUCUAUAGUCUCAGUGAAACUGAGAUAUAUAUACACAUAUAUAACAUUUCAGAUUAUGUAAUUCCACCAUCUGCUGCUUUACAUAAACAGUGCUCAUAUUCCACCUCUGCUUCUUUACAUAAUGGUGUCCCCCGUAUGAAUCAUUACUUAUGUGCGACAUGGGGCAGCUGAUGAAGGAUGGGCUAUACUUUUUGUUCUCCUCUAAAUGCCCGCUCCUUCUAGUGAGGUAGAGGUGGAGAACUUGCAGAGCAGAAACACCAUGUACUGUAACAUUGCCCAUUUGUUUCCCACUUACUGUCUUUGUUCCUACAUAUGCAAACCAGGCAGAUUGUGUUUACUUUGAUAAGCAACUUUACUGCAGGGUCAAGUAGAAAGAGAAGAUUGGCAGGAAAGGAGCAAAUCUUCCUUAAACAAAAAUGUCUGCAAUAAUUAGCAAAUGUGGCAAGAAAGAGUUGAUAAACAAGUAAAAGGUGAGAAGUGAAAGGUAAGCUUCAGGGCAAUUCAUUAAGAUGGUAAAUGAAGAGCAAACCAAAAUUUCUGCAGGCAUUUAGCAGAUGGGAGGGUAUUCUGGGAGCAUGGCAUUUGUUCAAGCAGUGAGUAAAAGCUAGAAAUACAUGGAUUCAGGACCAUUUUUUAAAGGAAUCAUCAGUUUAUUUUUCAGAAACAAACCAUGAGGAAAGCAAGGCAGUGUUUUAUGUUUUCUUUGCCUGCAUUUGUAUUUCUGCUGUUUAGGGAGCCUAAAAAAAGGAAAGCCUGCUUUUCAAAAUUGGAGAUGCCACACCCAACUCUGCUUUUCAAUUACAGGUGCCAAUGUGUUGAUUUAAUUAACCUGCAGUGCAGCACACAUGCAACUGAUGUGGUUUGGGAUCUAACGUGUAUCCUCCUGUGGAGCUGAGUCCUACUGCCUAUACAUCUUCCAGGGGGUUUCUUCCCACCUCUCUUCAGUCCCCAGAAGGCAGCCAGCUACUCCUGCUGGUGACUUAGGCUCCUUCUGUAGCAGAGAAAUUGGGAGGCACCUCUGGAGGCCAAGUCAAAGCUCAGAUCUGCAGCAGAGGAAUUUCUUGAUGCCUGAUUGCAGCCAACAGGAGCUGUCACCUGGACUGCAGACUUCAAGGACGGAUGCCCAGGUCAGCUGUAUCCUUCUGUGGGAUUUCCAGAUGAUGACCCAUUAUAGGAUGUUCUACAGAAAAGAAAUCGGCUUGGAUUUGGCACAGGGUCAAAGAUUGCCAAUGAGCUCCCGGUAGCACAGCAGAAGGCCGGCCUCUCCUGCCGACGUAUCAGCUGUAUUACAAAGUGGGAUUUCAAGGUAAAAUCUUGAGCAUCGCGGGUGGCGGCAGCAGGUCCCCACCAAGCAGCAAAGCCUUCUCCCCGAGGAGCAGAUGGAUAAUGGUGAGAUACACCAGAGAUGGGCUGGGGGGAGAGGGGGAGAAAGGGGGAAAUUAAAUGUUACCAUUGUCUUUUUGUCUGACUGGGAGCCAGGGCAGAGAGACGUCGCUGAGCUGUGCUGCUGACACCGACUGAAGAUCAGUCCCUGGCUUUUACAACACACAGGGGCAAUUAAGUUUUACACAGUGCCUCGCGUUUCGUAGUAAAAUUCAGUGUCACCCUGAGAUCUGCAGGAGUCCAGCGCUCGUGGCGGUCAGCGGUAAUGUCAGAGGCUGCCUGCCCGCCAGCAGAGGAAGGAUAUUUAUAUUUUCCUGGUGAAGCACCUAACAAACGUCAUGUUCUGAGGUAGUCUGCAGCUCCCGUUGGGCAGCCUGGUGCUCUGGCUGCUCCAGCGCCAGGAGGCAGCGGGCAGCGAUGGGCAGCGGUUGGGGUUUUUCCCCCGGUCAGCUCCAGUUAGGCAGUUGCACGGGGGACAGUGUGGUGUCACCUGCAGAUGCCCCCGUCUCUCCCCGCAGCGAGGCACGCCGUGCCCCGAGAGCCGGGCGAGGACGGACGCUGGCUGCCCAGGGACACGGGCUGCGGCAAAUCUCCCCUCGGGAUUUUCCCAGCAGCGCAGGGCUGUAGCGAUGCUGUGUGGCCGCACGCUUGUUCUGCCAGAUUUCUCUGAACAAACACCACAUGUCAUAAACAAGGUUACUGAACAUUUUUUUAACUAAAAGCAUGCAAUAUGUAGGGUUUAAGUUGUUUAAUGAAGCAUUAUAAUUGAAUGGUAAUAGCUGUUCUUUCAAAGUCCUGAAAAUAGAUGGAAAUCUGUUAGGAUCAAUGUAUUGUCUACAGGGAACUAAUCUAUCUCUGAAAGAAGCUGGUGAUUUGUUCUUGUUGUUCUAUGAAAUUAGAAAAUACUGCUAUUUAUGAAGCACAUUUAUAAACCUUGCUCUCUACUUUUAAAUAGUUGGCUUAAGGGUAUUUACUACAAUUCACAUUUAUCAAAUAAUGCACAUGUAGCUCCAUUACAAAACCAACUUCAAUUAAAAACAGAUUUGAGAAGUAAUGUAGUAUGUAGGCUGUAAAGCUCUAGUGGAAGGAAAAUGUACCUGGUUAAAGAAUCAAAUGCAGCUCUUAAAACCUGGACUGGUGGUAUUUUAGCCUUUAAUACAAUUGUGUUCCCAUAAAACCUUUUAUUGGCAUGAUGCUGGUCAUGGAGAUGACUGCCAAAGUCAUUCUGCCAGUGACUUUGCAGAAUUUGGUCUCCUUGGAAGUGAACAGCAAUGUAUGAGUAACUAAACAAGAACGUGUAUUUUUUUAUGAACAUUCAGACUAGAUCUGUAUCUGAACAGGAAAUCAAUGCUCAGGUGACUAGGUGGGACAGGUAAUGGGAAUUUUAAACCCCAUGGGAAAUAAAAAAUGAAAGAAACAGAGACCAUUGGGCUGUACUUCAGGAGUUUUCUGCAGUCAGAGGUGUUGUACCUUAAAAACCACACACCGUUGUCAUAUGUUAUCAAAAUCCAUUCCGAGCUCUUACAUGUCCACUUGACUUCUGCGAGGAGAAGAGUAAAAUGAAAAUGUUGUAAUGGAUUAGAGAAGGCUAAACAAGCCAGCGCCUUUCAAUGUGAGCCUGUGACAUGUCAGAACUGGCAAAAUAUUUCACUGUGCAAGUUAUUAAAAAUGAGGAAAUUGUAUACGGUGUAAAGUUUGAUCUUGAUUGAUUGUGUAUGCUUAGAGCUAAGUCAGGUCAAUCCAAGCCACUGCAUUAAAACAGCAGUGACUUGACAGGAAUUGCAUAGGCUGCUAACAUGCUCAAAACUAUUUUCACUACUUCGCUAAAAUAAAUACCUCAGUCCUGCCAAAACAUAUUAAAGGUAAAAUGAGUCACCACGAAGGCAAACUAAAAGAAAACUCCCUUGCAGGAGGUGAACGAUGCUCUUGGUGCAGACCCAUGCUCCUGCCCACGGCAGCAGGAAGGAUGCGAGGGGGCUGCAGACCCGGGGAGGCUCCCGCGUGGUGGGCCAGCUCUGCGGGCUGGGCUCUCCCGAGGAAGGCGAAAUGUUCUUGUUAGUAACCCCGGCAGCUCGUGCAACUGCCUGGCACAGGCUGCGGCGGGGACCAGGCGUGCAAGGGUGGGCAGGAAUACACCAAGGGGUGAGGUCCAUCGAAAGGGAUGGAGCAGUGGCGUGAGCUGGGCUCCAGCCUGGGACUGACAAAGCUGGGAAGACCGGGCAGGCCGACGAUGAAAAACACCAUUGUCCAUGUGCCCAAGUCCUAGGUGCUUUUCCUAAGGGAUUAUUGCAGCAUGGGAGAUGUCAUAAAAUAGCCCUUUCUCAGACUGGAUACUGAUAAAAAACAUCCAGCUCAGGACAGUUCAGAGUCUCUGUGACAGUUGAUGUUGCCCCUUUUUAAUCUUUCAAAUUCCUUUUGUGGCUGAUACUUGGGGAAUUUUCCCCGCCCCGGUUCCUGUGCUAGGUGUUCACCCCAAGGGCAGUGAAUGGCUGUGGCUGCUGAGUGCCGUGUGGAGGUGAGGUGGCAAAACUGUUGAGCUUUCUCCUUCCCAGGUCGAUUUGCUGGGUUUUGUUUGUUUUUUAUUUUCUCUUACUGAUUUGAGGCAUCUGAGGCAAAAUACUCCCCCUUUUAAAGUUUGUUGAAUUUGCAUCAGCUGCAACUCCUGUGGGAAAGUCACAGCUGCUUAUAUAUGUGUAUGCAUAUGGAGAUACAAAAAAUAAUAGCAGUAUUGAGACAAAGCAAUGGGCUCUUUGUGCACUUGGACGGGGCUCAGGGCCGGUCCGUGUCUGCCUGACGUCCCCCCCCCAUGUAUGUAUACAUACCUAAUGGGAAAGCCUGUCAGGGAAUCGUUUCUUGGUUCAGCGUUUGCGGGGCAUGAACCAGCAAGCGCUGUCGUGGUUGGGGGAUCAUGUCCAUCCCCCGCUGACGGGGUCUGUGCCAGGCUUGCCCCCCGCGGUGCUGAGCGCGGCUCUCCUGCGCAUGGCUACUCCAGCAGCAACGGGGGCAUGGGCAGGAUGGAUCCCGCGGCCGGGGCUGGCGGGUGUCCAGCUAUCUGCUCCCAGAGCAGCUUCCCAAACACUGCGAGGGCUGAUGACUGCGGGGCAAGGGAACAGCCUCAUGAGAUGGAAUGGCUUCAAAUAGCCUUCGUCCCUCAGUGAGAGGGGAAGGAAAAAAACCCUCAUUUUUAGAAAACCUGAUGAGCAGGAAUUAGCUAGGGGUACGUGCCUGCGAUGAGGCUGAAUCUGAAGUAACUAUAAAUAUCUACAAGUCCUCAGAAAAAGACAAGGAUGUGAAGCUCCUUGAAUGUCUCUAACAAGUGAAGGAGUUCGAAAAGGUCUCUUUUUUCUUUCAGGUUCUUUCCCCAUAUCAAAUCAAGGAGAAUUGAGAAUGAAUCCCUAAACUUCUAAUCUCUGCUUUGUGAAUAUAUUAUCUUCAUGGCUGAAAAGUUAAGCUAUUUCCAUUUUUUGAGCUGGCCACAAACAUAACUAAAAGCUGUAGACUAAAGAUUGAAAUACAAAGUUAAAUUGCAGAUGAGGAACAAACUUUUUCUUAGUAAUUUUCCAGAGGAAAAGCAUUUAUAUUGUAUUUCUCACGGUGCAAUCUGCUUUCUCCUUGCCGCCUCGAGGAGCGCGGUGCCGGGCAGCGUGGCCCCGCAGCGGGAGGCAGCAGCUCCCCUCCCGCCUGGGGUCCCGCCUGGGCACCCCAGCGAGCGUUCGAUCUCCUCGCGUCCCGACUCGGGGCCGCAGCCCCUGCGCCUGAAGUGCAAUGGGGACCACAGGACCUCCUCUCCGAUGGUUUCAGGGCUGGUUCCAGGUGGGAGACUGUGCUCGUGUUGCACGGCCCAAACACGGGGCCGUGCUCUGCACCCCCAGCCAGCGCAGCACGGCCAGGCUGCGGUCGUCGUCCGUCAGCGCUGGGAACAGCGGAGCACGCAGCGUCCGGCCCCUCCUGCAGCAGAGCCAGUGAUGCCGAGCUUGGGUCUCCCUCUUCCCAGUUCCCUCUUCCCAGUUCCCAGGGUGGUGGCAGCCUGACCCAGCCGAGGGGGGGGGGCAGGCGAACCUGCCGCCGGGCUUUUUCUGGGCACGGUGCUGGCGUUUCGUCAGGUUCCCCAGGGGUGACCUUGAACAAAUCAUGUAAUGCCUCUUUGUUUUAGCUCCCUGGCUCUAAAAGUGGGAAUAAUCAUUCUGCUCUCCAGCUGCCUGCAUUUUGGCUGCAACCCCUGGGCCGUGUCCCCCGCCUCGCACUGCCAGGCACUUGGAGGAUGCUAAUACUAAUAGCAAUGACCCCCCCGCUCCUCACUUCUUCAUCGUGAACUUCUCUCAAUCUUGCCGCGAUGCUGGAAACCCGAAACACCAGGGCACAAAACCACACGAAAAGUGCUUAUUUAUUAGCUGCGUGUGGAGGAAAGGGGGUUGAGCAGUAACACAAUAGCCACGCAGCCAGUGCGAGAAGUCAAGACCAUUUUAAGGGGCAGCUACAGCUGCUGUGGGCGAGAACAAUAGUCACAGAGCUUAUUAAAGCCAGCGGGAUGUAAUCAAUGGUUGGGUUGGUUUUUUUAAUGAGGAAGCAGAAUUGAAUAGAAUAGGCUGCAGAUAUAGCCAGUGCAUUGUGUGUUGAGUUGCGUGAAAUUGUUAACAGUCUUUUUUCCCUCUGGUAAGAACCCUGGUACAAAUUAUUCUGGGGACUAAGCAGGGGAAGAGCUUUUAGAUCUCGUGUGUUAAAGUUUAAACCACAAGGAGAUGACUGCAAGAGUCCAGCCUGUGGAGCAACACGCAGAGUGGGCUUGAGCACGCAGGUUUCGCCGUUAGCCUGGCAGGCUGGAAUGUGUCUUUGAAAGGUGUUUUACAAGACCAAAUAGCCAGAAACCCACUGCUCGUCUGCUGGGGGGCGAAGGAGGGGACGAGCCCCUGGCCUGGAGGGGGAUCUGGUGGCACCAGGCAUCACCCCAGAGCAACCCGCCCUGCUCUGCAGCGAGGAUCCGCUUCUCGAGAGCAAAAUUUUCCAAUUAAUUCGUUCACUCAAAAGAAAUGCAGAGCCAAGUUGUCAGGUUGAUUUGAACGCAUGAAGAGUUUCUGUCAAAAAGUUAAAAGUGAAAAAAAGUAUAUGUAACGCUUUCUGUUGAUGUUUUACAACCUGAGAAGCGGAGAGGGACGUGCUGGCCGGUCUGGGGCUGCAUUCGCCAUGGGGGCUCUUCAGGAGGUGUGCUUGAGAUAACUCUUGUGGGUAAAAGUUUGGUUACAAGCAGAGCACCAAGAGCUGCCAAAACCUAGAAGAAUAAUACUACAUCUUAAGCCAACUAAACUUUGUCCGAAAGGGCAUCCUGUAAUGAAUUUAAACAAGCUCGAAACAAAGCUUAAAGCAUUAGAAAAAACAUUUGCAAUCUCAGGACUUGGACAGCCAGAUGCCACAAUCUAAUAAUUUAAUAUAGUCUUAAUUAGCUUUUGGUGUUGGGUUUUUUUAUAAAGCAAUCUGUCCUUCGCUGUUCAGAAACGACUUUCAUGCAAACUGUGUUACUGUUACGAUGAGCCAAACCUGCAGGUGCCGGUCGGCUUCUUGCUCGAGGAACGUGAACUAAGUUUUCUGAGAGCAGCAACCAAAGCCCUCCUGUCCUUACUACCUGUAAACAGGCAAGCAGAAUGCCAAUUACUUAAAACAGUGCUUAGGAAUAGGUGUAUCCCUACAGCUGAGAAACGGGCCAGCAGCUGGUAGGAUUCUUCCCCAUCUCCAGAGGUCUGCAGCUGAGGCCGUGCCAGACGAAGAAAAGAAGCUUUCUCUCCAGACCUAGAAGCCCACCUGCAUUUUGUUAACUUCUAGAGCUGCCUGGGAAUGAAAAAGCCGCAAGCUGAAGCUCGUAAGAAAAAUGGUCAACUAUCUGUAAUUGUCAGUGCUAGCCAAAAAAGCAGAAAUGGCUCUUUUUAUAGAGCUGAACAGGUCCAGCAGUAAUAAAUCACUGCUGCAGCCUGGUGCUUGGGUUGUGGGUGACCUGUCACCAAGAGUAAAUGACAAAGUGACUUUGUGAAAGGAAGAACAGGGAACACGAGGGACACGUAAACGCUGUGGAGGGUUUGGAUGGGGGGAGCAAUACUGCCGAGGGUCAGAGCAUCCCCAGCCGGAGGGUGUUGCGUGGGGAGGGAGGCAGCCCCCUCGGCGUGGGGCCGGUGGGUGGGAGCCAGCCUGGGGACGGGCAGGAGCGGACUGCAGUUCAGGCUAAGCCGAGUUUACAUGCAGGGACUGGAAAUCAGUUUUAGGAACAGGAGGGCUGAAAAACUUCCUUUGUUGCCAGAUCUGAAACAGUUUUGGUGCUCAUGUGGCUGGCGGGGGUGGGAGGUGUUGGUCUUUUUUGGUAUGAGGAUGGCUACCCUUCUUUUGGAUUAGAUGAAGAUGAAGGUUUGGGCUGGGAUCGAGUUUUACAAAAGAAAGGCUAAAAAGCCUGCACAUUUUCUGCUUUUCAAAGUACUGUAGACAGUCCCGUCCUUGUCUAGAAGUGGUGGUGAAGUGAGUCAGCUUAGGAAGAGAGCCAGGGACCAGGAGAGUGUUGGGGAAUUUAUGUGGUACCCCUCGAGGCGAAUUAAAAGAGAGGUUUGUGUGGGUACCGUAUAAAUUCCCCAACAAAAGCCGGGGAGCGGUGGGUCAGGGAUGCCGCUACGACUUACGUUUACCAAUCUGUACAACUGCAGUUCCCCACUCAUUUCCGACUGCCUUUCAGCAUCAGAUCAUCGCUCCAAUUCAAUUUGACGUAACAAGUAAUAAACAUGAUGUAUUCCCUGUGUUAUCUGUGGCAUGGUCUUUUAUGGAUGUCCCACGCCUUCAUGAAAACAUCUGCUGUGUUCAAGUUGUCCGGCGUGGUUACGAUGAAAAUCAUUUCACAAAGGAGAACUGAAUUAACCCCGGGACUCACCCCGGCCCACGUGCACGUGCGCGACGGCACACGCCGCGUGGGCCGAUCUGCCCAGGCACCCACGGCACCGUUCGGCUUGCGGGGACCAGGCAGUCCGGCAUCAGCUGACGGGCUCUCUGUGUGCGGAUGGUGAUUCCGCGCGGGAUCCCAGCCGGGUCGGGGUGCCGGUAUUUCCCGAGGAGGCUUUGCAGCCAGCCUUCAGAUAAUCUGUUUGCUAAUGAAAAGCAGAGAAGAAAGGAAAAAACUUUUAUUUUUUUCUUUCUUGCUAUGGAAACAAGAGGAAUUAAUAAUAGAAAUUCAAACUAAAGGCCUAUUUUUUAGUCUGUCUCAAGCCAGGAUUAUUAUGUGUUGAUUAUGAUUGAGAAAAGUAAUUUUCUUCCAUACAGACUGUAAUGGAUAAUGGCCAAAACAAAGCUGUUUACAGUCCUCAUUUUUUCAUGUAUUCAAACUCCAAGGAACCCCCCCCCUGCUCAGGGCUGCCUGUCGGCAAGGAGCAGCCGCUACCCCCAGGGGCUGCAGCAUCCCGUGGGCUGUGCAUGGCCAGGCAGCAUUGGGGGGGGCCCUGCCAGCCCCGAACCACUGGUGUUUCCCUUGCAGCAUCCACAGGAGAAGGUAAAAAAGUUCAAUUGGUUUUUCUUUGUGGAAACCCACUUUGUUGGUAAAAGCUCCCCGUCUGCCCCGGGGGGCUCCGGGGAUAGGUCCCGUUCCCCCACCGUGCAGGUGACAGAUGAUGGCUGACCCGCAGUCGCUGGUACAGCCGCAAGGUACGGGUGGAGACAGCCUGCUCCUACGGCCCCUGCCAGACCCCGGCACCGGGGGGGGGGCUGCCCACGGCCGGCAGCAUCGCCUGCCCCAGGCGUGAGCGAGGGGUGCGCGGCUGUCCGUCCUGUUGGAACAAAAAAAAGUUUGGAAUUAAAAUUUAGAAGGAAAUUUUACAGCCAAAGCCCAGCUUGGUGCCAGGGGCUACCCUGGGGCACAGACACCAGCACAAAGCCCCCGCAGAGCACGGGGGCUGCCCGCUGUCCCUACUGCAGCCCCGACUGGAGGAGCUGGCUCUCUCUGCAGCCAUGGGUUGUAUAUUUAGGAUCAUUUCUGCUGAUGCUGACAUAAUUAAGAGUUUGCUAAAUGUGAGCUUUUUUUUCCCCAAUAAAGAGUUAUUUUCUUGCUA
Molecule: long non-coding RNA, 10323 nt
Organism: Aquila chrysaetos chrysaetos
Lineage: Eukaryota; Metazoa; Chordata; Aves; Accipitriformes; Accipitridae
Exons: 5
Source: RefSeq, a predicted model, not a curated record